GACGAACCAUCCAAACGUUAUUCGGAAUCACUGGGCUUAAAGGGUGCGUAGGCGGCGCGUUAAGUCGGGUGUGAAAUACCUCAGCCUAACUGAGGAAUUGCGCCCGAAACUAGCGUGCUGGAGGAAGACAUAGGUGAGCGGAACUUAGGGUGGAGCGGUGAAAUGCGUUGAUAUCCUAAGGAACACCAGUAGCGAAAGCGGCUCACUGGGUCUUAUCUGACGCUGAUGCACGAAAGCCAGGGGAG
RNAcentral lists this ribosomal RNA (245 nucleotides) under uncultured bacterium. Its description in RNAcentral is "partial 16S ribosomal RNA". It matches the Rfam family "Bacterial small subunit ribosomal RNA", at positions 524 to 768 of the family's 1533-position model. The record is from RNAcentral.